This 468-nucleotide ribosomal RNA is filed under the name uncultured bacterium. Its description in RNAcentral is "partial 16S ribosomal RNA". It matches the Rfam family "Bacterial small subunit ribosomal RNA", at positions 28 to 507 of the family's 1533-position model. The record is from RNAcentral.
GACGAACGCUGGCGGCGUGCUUAACACAUGCAAGUCGAACGGAAAGACUCUGCUUUUGUGGGUCGCUCCAGUGGCGAACGGGUGUGUAACCCGUGAGUAACCUGCCCCUGACUUUGGGAUAAUUUCACGAUACUGGGGCCUAUACCGGCUAGGAGCUCUUGCUGCUUGGUGGAGGUUGGCAAGUUUCGGCGGUUGGGGAUGGACUCGCGGCUUAUCAGCUUGUUGGUGGGGUAGUGGCUUACCAAGGCUUUGACGGGUAGCCGGCCUGAGAGGGUGACCGGCCACAUUGGGACUGAGAUACGGCCCAGACUCCUACGGGAGGCAGCAGUGGGGAAUAUUGCACAAUGGGCGGAAGCCUGAUGCAGCAACGCCGCGUGCGGGAUGACGGCCUUCGGGUUGUAAACCGCUUUCGCCUGUGACGAAGCGUGAGUGACGGUAAUGGGUAAAGAAGCACCGGCUAACUACGUG